This 1331-nucleotide long non-coding RNA is filed under the name Chrysemys picta bellii (western painted turtle). RNAcentral describes it as "lncRNA (ENSCPBG00000014575.1)". Lineage: Eukaryota; Metazoa; Chordata; Testudines; Emydidae. The record is from RNAcentral.
AGUGAGUGAAGGACUCCCCCUGCUCAUCAUCUGUGCGGUCUCCAGGGAUGCCAGAGAAUGGAGAUUUCACUUCUACAAGGACGGAGUCGAGAUCGUCCCCAGGAACAUGGGGUCUGAGAUCAACGCCAUGGAGCCUGGCAUCGGCUCUGUGAAUGUCUCUGUGCUCAGCAUCCCACAGGCCGGUCCCAACAACACCGGGGAAUUCACCUGUGGGUACGAGGAGAAUGUGAGUGGGAGGUGGAUCCCAUCCCCUAGGAGCCGGGCAGUGAACGUCACUGUGAAUGUCACCAGGACAGCUCCCAGCUUCCUCUGGGUACAGAAGUUGGUGGUGGGUGGCUCCUUCUUCCUCAUCAAUGGCCUCAUUUUCCUCAUCUCCCACUGCUGCUUCUAGAUCCAGGUAACUGGCUUGUUCUGUGAAGGGGGCCCUUCAUUCUGUGCCUUGCAUUCUCUCCACAAGGUGACCCAUUUGGGCUGCAAUCACUCCCCUUGAAUUUCAGCUGGGGGGGGGAGGAGGGGGAGGGAGGUUCUGGUGGAAAGUCAAAGAGUGAGAUCUGAGAAACCUCCACAGGGCUUUAGGCAGCAUGAACACUUUAGCAACCAACCAAAAUACAACUGCAUCUGGGGUGGGGCAUAGCCACUGUUUCACAGCUGCACAACCCUUGUGCACAGAGUUUGCUUGCUCGGUGUGAACCCAGGAAGCCCUGUAGUCACACCUUACACACGGCUGCAAUGUCAUGUGUACACACUCUGUCUUGCAAGGUAUCAUUUGAAUCUCCCACUACACUGGUCAAUAAUAUCACUGUGGAAUAUAUGUGAGAACGCGGCAGGUGGAGAUAUGGCUGACCUCUGUGAGUCUGUUUUAAAGCCUGUAUUGGAACAAAGGGGAACCAGGUCUGCCCAGGGAACGAAGAAGGGUGACCGGUGAGAAGAGAAUUAGUAUUUAUAUGUCUGGUAAACAAAGCCAUGGAGCCACCAAGGAGAAGGUGAUGACUCAGCUAUCCACGGGGGCUGGAGACGGCACCACCAGGAGACCUUCUUGCUUCCUGAAGCAUUGUCAAUGAACAUAGAGAGACAUGCUCUCCUGGACGAUAGAGAGAGGGGCAAUGAACCCUCAAAUUACCUUCCCCCUAAGACGACAAGGGAAACCAGCACCUCGCACUUUGGCGGAAGUUACUGACUGAGAGCCAGUCAGACAGGCUGGACCAAACAUAAUCACAGAGUGAAACCAUCUUCAAUGCAGUCUGAGUUUGAGCUUUUCAGCUGUGUGUUUUCACUUGGAUUUACCUGUAACUGUCUCUAACUUGGUUUCAUUUCACUUGGCAUCGCUUAAC